GAGAGAUCUCCGAAAGCGGGUAUUGCAAGAUAUCUCGUGUGGGAUCAGAUGUUGUCUCAGGCCCAUUGAACUUGAAGUGGGUAAAGAAAUAUUACACAUGAGAAGAGCAUCACAAAAAGUUAUACUUUCAACUUCAAAAGUAAUCGAGGCACCUGAUUAAGUACAACCCUCAGAAGUUACACUUUCAACUUUAAAAGUGAUCGAGGCACCUGACUAAGUACAGCCCUCGGAAGUUAAACUUUCAAACUUCAAAAGUGAUCGAGG
Molecule: long non-coding RNA, 264 nt
Filed under: Panax ginseng (ginseng)
Lineage: Eukaryota; Viridiplantae; Streptophyta; Magnoliopsida; Apiales; Araliaceae
Description: long non-coding RNA (PGIN_LNC007885)
Source: RNAcentral